Molecule: long non-coding RNA, 1274 nt
Organism: Bombus terrestris (buff-tailed bumblebee)
Lineage: Eukaryota; Metazoa; Arthropoda; Insecta; Hymenoptera; Apidae
Exons: 3
Source: RefSeq, a predicted model, not a curated record
AACAGUUAGGAAACCGAUGUUUUUCGUCUGCGGAACGCGAUUGCCUUUCAAACGAAUUGCGCGUUAGAUCACCGCUCGUUUAUUGCUCGGCGAGAUAUAAAAGAAGUUCGUCGGUCAUAUUAUCGACGAAGUGCUGUUAGGCAAUGAAACCGAUUCCAAUAACCGCUUUCGUUCCAUGGAAAAAGAGGACGUUGCGCAAUAACCGUAAGAAGAAAAAGGGAGAAGGAAAAAUACGGGGAGAACGAAAGAACGGUAACGGAAAGAUAAAAAUAUCCAUGAUCCAAUAGUCGAUAAGCUAUCGGCGCGAACUAGAUCGCAUCUGGGGGCUGCUCGUUUCAAGAUUGAAAAAGAGACACAAAGGUGUGGCCCUCACCGUGUCACAUUUACCCUUUAAAGGAAAGAAAAGGAAACCGAUAUACUCAAUUUCGUUUAUCUAGGAAACACAAAAAGCGACAUCCAUUUGUUUGCACUGGAGGAUUAUCGAAUUUACCAUCUUGAGUCGACUUGUAUUUAUCCGUUGCGAAAGCGAUAAAAUGAUACUACAAUUCUUGUUACAUUUAAUUCCUAUUACUUAAUCAUCAACUACUCAUAAAAGUAUUAAACAUUUAUGAAAAUUUUGUAUGACAUAUGAGAAGAUACAAGUAUCAUGAUCACAUUGAUAAAGUUUGAAACAAAUAUGAAGAUGUAUAUAGAAGUUACAAGAUAUUUGUUGUACACAUACACUUGUGAAAUUAUUUAAGCAAUCAAUUGUCCAUUACUGAGUCCACCUUUAUAACUUACUACCGGAAAAUUAAUUUUUAUGCCAUGAAACAUAGAAUUUUGAUGGAACAAAAAGAAAUGACUGAGGAUAUUAGAAAAAGAAAAUAUAAAUUUGGGAGGCUGAAAUUCAACGAAUGAAUGAAGGUUAAUAAAAGGAAAUGCUCGCGCUAUCAGUUUUUUUAACGGUCACGAGACUGCGAUUAUUACCACGGCCACGGCACAUUCGUUAACCGACGGGCCGUUCACCUUACCGUGCAUCGUCAGUUUGAAUAUGUCAGACGAUAUGUGGCGCUGGUGGAUGAACUCUGUAUCAUUUUGUCAGACGUGUCUGUGCAGGUUCAAGUCAACGGCUGCCCGAAGAUCGCGUCAUGACAUGCUUUCGAUCGACAACACCGUUCAUCAUACUUGUGUUUAUUCUACCCAAAUAUCUAUCAUAAGAUAAUAAUAAUUCAUACUAAUAUUAAAAUAAAUCCAAAAAGGUAAAAGAUAAAUAAAGAAGUUUUUAAGAAAAUUUA